CAUAGGUUAAUGAGGCGAACCGGGGGAACUGAAACAUCUAAGUACCCCGAGGAAAAGAAAUCAACCGAGAUUCCCCCAGUAGCGGCGAGCGAACGGGGAGGAGCCCAGAGCCUGAAUCAGUGUGUGUGUUAGUGGAAGCGUCUGGAAAGGCGCGCGAUACAGGGUGACAGCCCCGUACACAAAAAUGCACAUACUGUGAGCUCGAUGAGUAGGGCGGGACACGUGGUAUCCUGUCUGAAUAUGGGGGGACCAUCCUCCAAGGCUAAAUACUCCUGACUGACCGAUAGUGAACCAGUACCGUGAGGGAAAGGCGAAAAGAACCCCGGCGAGGGGAGUGAAAAAGAACCUGAAACCGUGUACGUACAAGCAGUGGGAGCCUCUUAAUGGGGUGACUGCGUACCUUUUGUAUAAUGGGUCAGCGACUUAUAUUCUGUAGCAAGGUUAACCGAAUAGGGGAGCCGAAGGGAAACCGAGUCUUAACUGGGCGUUAAGUUGCAGGGUAUAGACCCGAAACCCGGUGAUCUAGCCAUGGGCAGGUUGAAGGUUGGGUAACACUAACUGGAGGACCGAACCGACUAAUGUUGAAAAAUUAGCGGAUGACUUGUGGCUGGGGGUGAAAGGCCAAUCAAACCGGGAGAUAGCUGGUUCUCCCCGAAAGCUAUUUAGGUAGCGCCUCGUGAAUUCAUCUCCGGGGGUAGAGCACUGUUUCGGCAAGGGGGUCAUCCCGACUUACCAACCCGAUGCAAACUGCGAAUACCGGAGAAUGUUAUCACGGGAGACACACGGCGGGUGCUAACGUCCGUCGUGAAGAGGGAAACAACCCAGACCGCCAGCUAAGGUCCCAAAGUCAUGGUUAAGUGGGAAACGAUGUGGGAAGGCCCAGACAGCCAGGAUGUUGGCUUAGAAGCAGCCAUCAUUUAAAGAAAGCGUAAUAGCUCACUGGUCGAGUCGGCCUGCGCGGAAGAUGUAACGGGGCUAAACCAUGCACCGAAGCUGCGGCAGCGACGCUUAUGCGUUGUUGGGUAGGGGAGCGUUCUGUAAGCCUGUGAAGGUGGCCUGUGAGGGUUGCUGGAGGUAUCAGAAGUGCGAAUGCUGACAUAAGUAACGAUAAAGCGGGUGAAAAGCCCGCUCGCCGGAAGACCAAGGGUUCCUGUCCAACGUUAAUCGGGGCAGGGUGAGUCGACCCCUAAGGCGAGGCCGAAAGGCGUAGUCGAUGGGAAACAGGUUAAUAUUCCUGUACUUGGUGUUACUGCGAAGGGGGGACGGAGAAGGCUAUGUUGGCCGGGCGACGGUUGUCCCGGUUUAAGCGUGUAGGCUGGUUUUCCAGGCAAAUCCGGAAAAUCAAGGCUGAGGCGUGAUGACGAGGCACU
RNAcentral lists this ribosomal RNA (1370 nucleotides) under Escherichia coli. RNAcentral's name for it is "partial 23S ribosomal RNA". It matches the Rfam family "Bacterial large subunit ribosomal RNA", at positions 165 to 1578 of the family's 2925-position model. Lineage: Bacteria; Pseudomonadati; Pseudomonadota; Gammaproteobacteria; Enterobacterales; Enterobacteriaceae. The record is from RNAcentral.